UGAGGGUAGAGAAAAGGGUCUGGAGAGUUGAAGGUGGUAUGGACGAUGGUGAUAGAGAAGCCUCUGGUAUGGAGAAGGUUACCCAGCUGGACCAUGGGACGGAUGUGACCUUGAAAUGGCGAUGGGAACAGGACGAUUCUCCUCCCUUGUCUUUCUUCCAUUUUGUGUGGAUGAUAUGAUCCUUUUACGCCUUUUAUUUUGACAACUUAUGCUUAUAAAUAGUAUUUAUAUAUUUCUAUAUAAUAACAUGAGAGCAAGUGAAGUGCAUGAACCGAAUCUUCCAACAUUAAAAAUUCUGUUCGGACACAUAACGUUAAUUGGCAAAACAAGGAAUCAUCGGUAGGUUUGGAUAACAAAAAUUCUUUCCACAAAUAGUAGAUGAUUUUAAUUUGAAUUACAUGAGAAAAUAUGAUAAUUGAAAGAGAGAAAUGAGGUGAAUAUUAUUUAUAUUUAUAAUUAAAUUUAAAAAAAUAAUAUGAAAUUUGGGUACUAAAAUAUUAAUUUUUUUUAUUAAAAAUCACUAAGUAUGAUAAAUGAUGAGUCUCCAAUUUGACAAGUCAACUUUAUAUAACGCUUGCUCGGUUAAAUAUUUCUGCAAUGAAAUCAUCAUGUCCUCAUCCAGUUCUAUCUUCGUUAUUUUAACCGCAGCAAUGCUGGGAUCUGAAAUCAUUGUCCCCCAUAUAUUAGAUACAUACAUACAUACACAUAACUCGUCAGUGAUAAUUAUGUCUCGUUUAAUGGUAUAAUCGCUAAAUUAAUCAAAGCUUGCUGCCAAACAUCAAGGUGUAUCAUAUUAAAAACUGUUUUACUUGUUGAGUUACUUACUGGAGAAGGAAUUUUUUUUUUUUUUUUUUUUUUUGGCUUAGCAAAGUGACAUAAGUUUAUUUUAGUAGCGCAUCGGAGACUCUCACGACAUUUCCCUAAGUGAACCGAUCAUGCAAAUCAUAAUCUAUUUAUAUCACGCUUUGUGCAAUUAAUGGUGACGUAGACCUCAUUGUCUAAGAAAGAAGUAUUGGAUUGCAUCGAUUCCAAACAUUAAAUGUUAGAUCAUUUUUGUUAAGAAUUUGUGUAGAUUUGUCUAAAAAUUUCAGCUUAUUUUUUUAAAUUAAUAUCAUAUCUUAUCGCUCUAAUUAAAAAUAAAAAUUAUUAUCGAUAACGAUGAUAAAAUAAAUUAUAAUAACAUAUUCUCUUUUUAAUAUAAAUAGAAUCUUUUUUAUUUUCGAUAAAUUCGAAACAGUAUCUAUUGAAUAGAUGUACUGAUUAAUCAAAAAAGAUAAAUUCAUUCACAAAUUUACUUUCUUUAUUUUUGUAACUUUAAUUGAACGUUUUAAUAAUUUUUUUGAAUUUAAAAAAAAUUUUUUUUUUUUUAGUUGCUACAAGAAAAUUAUUUGAUUAAGAAUACUGAUGGAACUCUGAUACCAUCUUGGAUUUCAAUAUCAUCAAAAAUCUUAUCAACUUCUAAAUAUAAGAUGAGUUUGAACCAAAAAUGUUCGAGAGAAAGAGAAACAGAGAGAGAGUGAGAAAAAAAGAAGGAAAAAAAAGGAGUAUUGUGUGUUGUUCAUUAAUAACUUAUUAUGUAUUUAUACAUAGAGAAAAAGUAAUUAAUUAACUUAAUUACAAUUGAUUAACAUUGACUACAAGAUUAAUAAAAAAUUAUAUUAACUAUUUCAACUAAUUUAGUUACACUAACUAAAUCUAGUUACUUUCUACUAACUAUUCUAUUAAUUUUAAAUUAAUGUUGCAUUCAAUUUUGACUUAAAAAAUUUCAUGUCCAAUUCAAAUUAAUUAUCUUAGUAAUUCAUUUUUUAACAAAUAAAAUACAACAAUUCCACUGCUAUCAAACUGAAAAUAUUAUUAAUGUUUACUGUAUUAUGUCAUAUUAAAAACGUAUAAACUACAACUAAAUUUUGUGUAUUGAAUAAUAAGCAUUUAAAAGUAGAACUAAAAUAAAAUAUAUUUACUGUUAAAAAAUUAGUUAUUUCAAUAAAUAUUACUGUAACACCCAACUUACAAUUAUUUUUUAAUAUAAUUCCAAUUACAAAAAUAAUUGGUCUACUUUUUUAUUGAAUAUACUAUUUGGUGCUGCUGAGAAAAGUUGCAUGAAACACUUAUUGAGAGGAGAAAACAAGGGAAUCAAAUGACAAAAUGUGACUUACCAGUCUCUCCAAUGAUUGAAAUGAAGACCCAUUAUUUUCUCCCAAACAAACCCUAGCUUUCUCCUUCCAUUCCAAAACCCUCUUCCUAAUCUCCUUCCCUUCUUCGCCCACCAUUGCUCCUCUUAUCACCCUCUCAAUCUCCUCUCUCUCAAUUAACUUCCCACUUUCAAAUCCCAACCCAACCCUCCAAACAUCUCUCACAUACCUUGCAUUCACCUUUUGGUCAGUAAAAAAUGGCAUACAAAUCAUGGGCACUCCUUCACAAACACUCUCCAAUGUUGAAUUCCACCCAUUAUGAGUCCAAAAUACAGCAACAGAACGAUGGGCUAGAAUCUGGUGUUGUGGUGCCCAUUUCACUAUGAGUCCUCUUUCUCUCAAGUCUCCAAUUAACCCUUUUGGCAACAGAUCAAGCCAGUCCGACCCGUUUAUUAAUCCGGGUCGGACUACCCACAAGAAUGGUUGCUUGCUAUUGGCUAAUCCCCAAGCUAUUUCCACAAAGUCUUGUUCGUUUAGUGCUGCUAGGGUGCCAAAGCUGACAUAGAUGACUGAGCUGGCCGCCUGCUUGUCUAGCCAAUCUAUGGCGGCGGUUUGGUCAGGUUGUGUUGGCGGGCUGCUUGGCAAGAGUUUGUGAAAUGGGCCAAUGGGAAAGAUUGGGACUUGAAAGUCUUGGCUGAUAGCUGUAAUUGCAGGGUCUUCAAGCUCUUGAAAUGUGUUGAAUAUGACUCCUGCACUGGACUUGGUACCAUCGAUCAUUCCAUUGACGAGCUCGAACAGAUCUUCCGGAUUGUUGGUUUUGAUCACCGGUAAGUCUUUCACUUUGAGAUGUGGAAACUCAGCAACUUGUUCUUCUAAUCGAGAUUCUGAUGCCCAAAUCAAUAAACUCAAUUACAUACAUAUUUUUCAAUAAAGAAAUCAUGGCAUCUAUUAUCAUAUAUAUAUAUAUAUAUAUAUAGUUGAUGAUAUGUAUAGAUAUGUACAAUAUACCCUGAAUAGGGAGAUAACCCUUUUCCCUUAAAAAUGGGAAAGCAGCAAAAACAGAGAAAGAAGUUGAACCGCUAGUUCUCAAAACCAAUCUGGGCAGCUUAAGUUGUCGAGCAGCUUCCCCUGUAAAAGUAAAACCCGCGUCUGAAAUCAAGCAAGAAAUUGGAGAUUCAUGAUCAUCUGAGAUCAACCGAGCCAAACAGUCCGUUAAAGGUUGAAGGCAGUUGGCGUUGAGAACUUUGAGGAAGGCAACGAUAUCUGUUUGGGAUUGAGAGAGGAUAUUUUCAUGGAGGAAAUGAAAGCGGAUGUGAGGGUGGAGAGAAGGGUCUGGAGAGUUGAAGGUGGUGUGGACAACGGUGAUGGAGAAGCCUCUGGUAUGGAGAAGGUUACCCAGUUGGAUCAUGGGACGUAUGUGACCUUGAAAUGGCAAUGGGAACAAGACGACUCUCCUCCCUUUUCUUUCUUCCAUUUUUUUGUGGAUGAUAUGAUUUGCUUCUUCAUCUUUGUACGCCUUUUAUUUUGACAACUUGCCGGUGACUAGAGCCGGGUAAUGCUUAUAUAUAGCAUUUAUAUAUUUCUAUAUAAUUACAAAUAAUAUGAGAACAUGUGGUUGAAAAUUAUUUUAUUCCAAAUUUUGUAAAAUCAUUAAUAAAUUAAACUAAUUGAAAUUAAAAAUAAAAGUUUUUCUCUCCCCACCGACACCAGAACUGCCACCAAUACAACUGCAUACAUUUUGACUAUACACAUAUUAUGAUUAACCGAAUUUUGCCUAUGUUCGAGUUAUAUAAAUAGUUUACGUUUGGAUAAAUUAGGUGAACGAUUGUAUUAUUUGUAGGGUUCCCUCUUUAUAAUAUAUAUAUAUAUAUAUAUGUAUAUAUGAUAUAUAUAUAUAUAAGAUUGUAACUAUUACCGGAACAUGAGGACAGGAAGGGACGGUGAAAAGCGACGUGACUACGACGGCUUUCGGCCUAUUUCAACAGAUGUGAAUUUAAAUUUCUAAAUUCAAAAUUAAGACUUUAAUGUGUUUUUAAAUAUAUUUAUAUAUAAAUUAAUUUUAAUUUAAAACACUAAUUAUAUGGUAUUUAAUUUCCUAAAAAAUAAGAUAAUUACAAUUCAACAUUGAUUAAACCUAAUUAUUUAGUUAAAUAACAAAUUCUACAAAAUUAUAAAUAAAAAUUGUUUAUGUAUAAAUGUCCACUAAAACUCUUAUCUGCAUGUUGUUGUCCAGAUGUAUUAAUGUCCAAACUUCUUUCAUGUUGUAGUACCAUAUGUAUUUAUACAGAGAGAGUAACACUAAUUAAUUAAUUUAAUUACAACUGAUUAACAUUGGUUAUAGGAAUAACCCAUGUUAAUCAACUAAUAUACUUAUAUUAACUCAAUCUGACUUACAUCUAGUUACUUUCUACUACUAACUAUUCUAUAAAUUUUAAAUUGAUGUUAUAAUUAAAACAUUUACAUCCAAUUCAAAUUAAUUAUCUUGGUAAUUCAUUUUUUAACAAAUAAAAUACAAAAUAUUCCACUCCUAUCAAACUUAUUUAUUGUAUUAUGCUAUAUUAAAUAUAUAACUUGUCAAUUAAAUAAUAAGGAUUAAAAGUGGAAUUAAAAUAAAAUAUAUUUAAAUCAAAGGGGACAUUUAACUGUUAAAAAAUUAGUUAUUUCAAUAAAUAUUACAGCACCCAACAUUACAACUAUUUUUUAAUGCGAUUCCGAUUGCAAAAAAAAUAUAUAUAUGUUCUACAUUUUUUAUUCAUUGUACUACUUGGUGCUACUCAAAAAACUUGCCUGAAGCACUUAUUGAGAGGAGAAAACAAGGGAAUCAAAUGACGAAAUGUGACUUACCAGUCUCUCCAGUGAUUCAAAUGAAGACCCAUUGUUUGCCCCCAAACAAUCCCUAGCCUUCUCCUUCCAUUCCAAAACCCUCUUCCUAAUCUCCUUCCCUUCUUCACCCACCAUUGCUCUUCUUAUCACCCUCUCAAUCUCCUCUCUCUCAAUUAACUUACCACUUUCAAAUCCCAACCCAACCCUCCAAAUAUCCCUUGCAUACCUUGCAUUCACCUUUUGAUCGGUAAAACAUGGCAUACAAAUCAUGGGUACCCCUUCACAAACACUCUCCAAUGUUGAAUUCCACCCAUUGUGAGUCCAAAAUACAGCAACUGAAGGAUGGGCCAGAACCUGGAGUUGUGGUGCCCAUUUCACUAUGAGUCCUCUUUCUCUCAAGUCUCCAAUUAACCCUUUUGGCAACAGAUCAACCCAGUCCGACCCGUUUACUAAUCCGGGUCGGACCACCCACAAGAAUGGCUGCUUGCUGUUGGCUAAUCCCCAAGCUAUUUCCACAAAGUCUUGUUCGUUUAGUGCUGCUAAGGUGCCAAAGCUGACAUAGAUGACUGAGCUGGGCGCCUGCUUGUCUAGCCAAGUUAUGGCGGCGGUUUGGUCAGGCUGCGUUGGUGGGCUGUUUGGUAAGAGUUUGUGAAAUGGACCAAUGGGAAAGAUUGGAACUUGAAAAUCUUGGCUGAGAGCUGCAAUUGCAGCGUCUUCAAGCUCUUGAAAUGUGUUGAAUAUUACUCCUGCACUGGACUUGGCUCCAUUGACCAUUCCACUGACGUGCUCGAACAGAUAAUCUGGAUCGCAGGUUUUUAUCACCGGUAAGUCUUUCACUUUGAGAUGUGGAAACUCUGCAACUUGUUCUUCUAAUCGAGAUUCUGGUACCCAAAUCAAUAAACCCAGUUACAGACAUAUUUUUUCAAUAGAAAAAUCAUGACAUCUAUUAUUAUUAUUAUAUAUAUAUAUAUAUAUAUAUAGUUGGUGAAUACGUAUAGAUAUGUAAAAUAUACCCUGAAUAGGGAGAUAACCCUUUUCCCUUAAAAAUGGGAAAGCAGCAAAAACAAAGAAAGAAGUUACACCGCCGGUUCUCAGAACCAAUCUGGGCAGAUUAAGUUGGCGAGCAACUUCCCCAGUAAAAGUAAAACCCGCGUCUGAAAUGAAGCAAGAAAUUGGAGAUUCAUGAUCAUCUGAGAGCAACCGAGCCAAGCAGUCUGUAAAAGAUUGAAGGCAGUUGGUGUUUAGAACUUUGAGGAAGGCAAUGAUAUCUGUUUGGGAUUGAGAGAGAAUAUCUUCAUGGAGGAAAUGAAAGGUGAAGUGAGGGUAGAGAGAAGGGUCAGGAGAGUUGAAGGUGGUGUGGACGAUGGUGAUGGAGAAUCCUCUGGUAUGGAGAAGGUUACCCAGUUGGAUCAUGGGACGUAUGUGACCUUGAAAUGGCAAUGGGAACAAGACGACUCUCCUCCCUUUUCUUUCUUCCAUUUUUAUUUUUUUUGGUGUGGAUGACAUGAUCUGCUUCUCCAUUC
Molecule: long non-coding RNA, 6478 nt
Filed under: Carica papaya (papaya)
Lineage: Eukaryota; Viridiplantae; Streptophyta; Magnoliopsida; Brassicales; Caricaceae
Description: long non-coding RNA (CPAP_LNC011267)
Source: RNAcentral